GAGAGAGAACGAUGGUGAGAUUGAGGGAGAGGAGCUGCUGACCGUGGAGAAGAAGAAGAAGAAGAAAGUGAGGAACGAAAAUGGGAUUUCCGACCAUGGAUUGUUGUUAGGCAUGUAAUGUGAUUUUGGAGGCUUAGGACUGGAUCUAAUCUUCCAAUGUGUGGUAUGGGUAAUCGGAUCGAUGGAGCACUUCGAAAGGAUUACUUGAGUCGUGAGUCAUUUGCAGGCUACAAGACGAUGUUGUGGAUGUAGGUACAGAGACGGUAGAUAAGGAUCCUGUUGUCAUGUAUUUGGGCCACGAUGUUUGAGGCCUAGAUGCGUCGGGGGUUGAUUUUGUUGGACUAGUUAUUAGUCCUCUUUGUUAGAGCAUUUAUGUAUAUGCUUAGAUUUUAGUAUUUUGUCUAUGGCUCGUGUCGCAUGUGAC
This is a non-coding RNA of Corylus avellana, 424 nucleotides long. NCBI's taxonomy places the organism in Eukaryota, Viridiplantae, Streptophyta, Magnoliopsida, Fagales, Betulaceae. The record is from RefSeq and is a predicted model, not a curated record.